AAUCAUUCGAUGACGGGACAAGUACGAUAAGGUUACGUUCUCCAGAGAGUCGGUGUUUGCUGCGAGCCGAUUGUUCACACCUUGCCGGAAGAUCUUCCCCUAGAAGCUGAGCUGAAGCGUUAAUUCGUGCGUAAGUUUAGCCGUCUGCCGGACGUUAUCCCGGACCCGCGCGUUUAGAUUGUCUGUGCGGAACUGAGAUUGUGCUGAAUACACUCCCCCUGAGGAUGUGCCUGAAGCACAGAAUUAGGGUGGUAUCGCGAGCGUCGUCUCGCCCCUUGG
Molecule: non-coding RNA, 279 nt
Filed under: Paenibacillus sp.
Lineage: Bacteria; Bacillati; Bacillota; Bacilli; Caryophanales; Paenibacillaceae
Description: T-box sequence
Rfam family: T-box leader
About the family: Uncharged tRNA acts as the effector for transcription antitermination of genes in the T-box leader family.
Source: RNAcentral